AUGAACGCUGGCGGCGUGCUUAACACAUGCAAGUCGAACGGAGAGGCCCAAGCUUGCUUGGGUACUCGAGUGGCGAACGGGUGAGUAACACGUGGGUGAUCUGCCCUGCACUUCGGGAUAAGCCUGGGAAACUGGGUCUAAUACCGGAUAGGACCACUUCUUGGAUGUUGUGGUGGAAAGUUUUUUCGGUGUGGGAUGAGCUCGCGGCCUAUCAGCUUGUUGGUGGGGUAAUGGCCUACCAAGGCGUCGACGGGUAGCCGGCCUGAGAGGGUGUACGGCCACAUUGGGACUGAGAUACGGCCCAGACUCCUACGGGAGGCAGCAGUGGGGAAUAUUGCACAAUGGGCGCAAGCCUGAUGCAGCGACGCCGCGUGGGGGAUGACGGCCUUCGGGUUGUAAACUCCUUUCGCUAGGGACGAAGCGUUUUGUGACGGUACCUGGAGAAGAAGCACCGGCUAACUACGUG
Molecule: ribosomal RNA, 466 nt
Filed under: uncultured bacterium
Lineage: Bacteria
Description: partial 16S ribosomal RNA
Rfam family: Bacterial small subunit ribosomal RNA
Source: RNAcentral